Molecule: unclassified non-coding RNA, 325 nt
Filed under: soil metagenome
Description: partial contains 5.8S ribosomal RNA, internal transcribed spacer 2, and large subunit ribosomal RNA
Rfam family: 5.8S ribosomal RNA (bases 1-120)
Source: RNAcentral
GAUGAAGAACGCAGCGAAAUGCGAUACGUAAUGUGAAUUGCAGAGCUCAGUGAAUCAUCGAAUCUUUGAACGCACAUUGCGCCCCUUGGUAUUCCAUGGGGCAUGCCUGUUCGAGCGUCAUUUGUACCUUCAAGCUUUGCUUGGUGUUGGGUGUUUGUCCUGAGGGACUCGCCUUAAAGUAAUUGGCAGCCAGUGUUUUGGUUUUGAAGCGCAGCACAAGUCGCGAUUCAAGGCUAAACGCCAGCUUCCACAAGCCUUUUUUCUCUUUUGACCUCGGAUCAGGUAGGGAUACCCGCUGAACUUAAGCAUAUCAAUAAGCGGAGGA